CACUGCAAAUUUUUGGCAGUAGAUGGGGCCCUUACUAUAAUAAAAUUCCAUCGAGUUGGGAAGACUCUCGGAGGAGGUGCCCAGAUGCAGUACGUUGGAGCUGACUCCUGGAACAACAUCCUUACCUAACUCAGGCUCUUUGUUGCCUCCAUGUAACUUCUCAUGAGAAAAAACCAAAAGGGUGGGGAAGGGGAAACAAUCUUUUUAUACUUCUGUGCCCCAGCUUUUCACUGCCCUCUGUCCUAGUGCUUUCUUUUACUGUCUUUCUUUCCAAAAGGCUGCGAACCCACGGGCUCCCUGAUUCUGUUCCUGCUGACCACACUCAGGAAGAACACUCAGCCUGAGCUCAAGGAUGAGCGGGAAGGGGAACACACCCCUGAACAGGAUGGGGCAGAGCCAGAACCUCACCUUCUGCCAUGAUACUGUGAAUUCAACAUUUCACUCAAGCAAACCCACAUUUCCUGGCAGUGCUGGGCUGGCCUGGAAUCCAGACCUGGGCUGCUCAAGACAAGAAAAAGGGAACGGGAGUCCUGGGGGGAGAGAAUGCCUUGGCAAGCACCCCUAAAUCAUUUACCUUUUUGGAGAAACUACAGCAGGACCACAGCUACAGCCUGAUGUGCACUGAGCUGCACCUCUGGAGACUGAACAGCAAAUGCUUCGUGUCCUGAACUGAGCUGGAGAGCAAGGUGAGUUUGUGGACUUUCCUCCAGGGAGAUGCUAUCAGGACAAGCUGUGAAAUUGGAUGCCUGAAACAGACCAAGACGAUUUUCUAAACACUGGUACACAACAACACUGAAUAUGGACAAGUGCAUUUUGUGAUGUGGCACUGCUGAGCAUGAGCCUGCUGGGAUUCGGGAG
Long non-coding RNA from Motacilla alba alba, 858 nucleotides. RefSeq lists it as uncharacterized. Lineage: Eukaryota; Metazoa; Chordata; Aves; Passeriformes; Motacillidae. The transcript is spliced from 4 exons. The record is from RefSeq and is a predicted model, not a curated record.